Molecule: transfer RNA, 72 nt
Filed under: Camelus bactrianus (Bactrian camel)
Lineage: Eukaryota; Metazoa; Chordata; Mammalia; Artiodactyla; Camelidae
Also listed under: 2 other names
Rfam family: tRNA
About the family: Transfer RNA (tRNA) molecules are approximately 80 nucleotides in length. Their secondary structure includes four short double-helical elements and three loops (D, anti-codon, and T loops). Further hydrogen bonds mediate the characteristic L-shaped molecular structure. tRNAs have two regions of fundamental functional importance: the anti-codon, which is responsible for specific mRNA codon recognition, and the 3' end, to which the tRNAs corresponding amino acid is attached (by aminoacyl-tRNA synthetases). tRNAs cope with the degeneracy of the genetic code in two manners: having more than one tRNA (with a specific anti-codon) for a particular amino acid; and 'wobble' base-pairing, i.e. permitting non-standard base-pairing at the 3rd anti-codon position.
Source: Rfam by way of RNAcentral
GAGGGUACAGCUCAGUGGUAGAGUAUGUGCUUAGCGUGCACGAGGUCCUGGGUUCAACCCCCAGCACCUCCA